This 326-nucleotide unclassified non-coding RNA is filed under the name Leuconostocaceae bacterium R-53105. RNAcentral's name for it is "Long range pseudoknot". The record is from RNAcentral. Lineage: Bacteria; Bacillati; Bacillota; Bacilli; Lactobacillales; Lactobacillaceae.
UCUGGUGAUUUUGAGACACGUAAAAAAGCUGCAAUCAAGUUCCUUGAAAAGGGUAACAAAGUUAAGCUUAAUUUACGUUUUCGUGGUCGGAUGAUUACCCACCAAGAUAUUGGACGGGAAGUUCUUGAACGAAUGGCCGAAGAAUUAGACGACAUUGCCAAGGUUGAGCAACGUGCCAAGAUGGAUGGUCGCCAAAUGUUUUUGGUUUUGGCCCCUCGGAAGGCUAAGUGAUACUAGUAACUAAUUUGAGCACUGCUCGAGCUAGCACAAAACGAUAGGAGAUUGGUCCACAUGCCAAAGAUGAAGACACACCGCGCUUCUGCAAA